GUUAAGAAUUAAGCCAAUGCAUGUGUAAGUAUAAAUAAUUCUCCUUUGAAACGGCGAUGGGCUCAUUAUAUCAGUUAUAGUUAAUUAAAAAAAAGUUCCUACUGGGAUAACCGUAGUAAUUCUAGGGCUAAUACUUGACUAAUUCCCCAACUUUAAAAAGGGGUGUUUAUUAAAAGGAAAACCAUAUGCUUUGGCUGGAUGUGGAGUAAAAAAAACUUUUCUAAUCCAAGGUUAAAAUAACGAUAGUUCUUUCAGGUUUCUGCCCUAUCACCUUUCAAGGGAAGGGAAUGGAACAACCUGGGCAUUACCGGGUAACAAAAAAUUGGGGUUCAAUUUCGAAAAGGGACCCGGAAAAAGGGCUCCCCCUUCCAAGGAAGGCACCAGGCGCGAAAUUUACCCAUCCCGGACCUAGGGAGGUAGGGACAAAAAAUCCCAUGGCGAAACUUUUUUUUUUGAAUUGGGUUUGAAAAAAAUGUAAAACAUUUCUCUAAAAAAAUGUGGGGGGAAUCUGGGGGCCCCACCCCCGGGGAAUUCCCCUCCCCAAUAGCAUAUUUAAACUUUUUUGCAUUAAAAACUCACAA
Molecule: ribosomal RNA, 581 nt
Filed under: Blastocystis sp.
Lineage: Eukaryota; Bigyra; Opalinata; Blastocystidae
Description: partial small subunit ribosomal RNA
Rfam family: Eukaryotic small subunit ribosomal RNA
Source: RNAcentral